CGACUAGCCACCACCGCCAGCAAGGUCGUGCAGGAGGCGUACUUGUUGC
This 49-nucleotide transfer RNA is filed under the name Pyramimonas parkeae. Its description in RNAcentral is "partial Selenocysteine transfer RNA". Lineage: Eukaryota; Viridiplantae; Chlorophyta; Pyramimonadophyceae; Pyramimonadales; Pyramimonadaceae. The record is from RNAcentral.